UAUAUGUGAUAAUGAUUGAAGGAACUGUAGAAGUGUUCUCAGUGUCAUUCUUCAUUUAUUAGUUCAGCAAUUAUACGCUUGGGGAUUUAGUCCAUAUCUAUUAUGAAGAGUAGAUGAAGUAUUUUUGUGUAUAAAAAGUGUCCCUCAAAAUGAUAUUUGGAAAGCUCUGCUGUGACGAGAGAUACUCGCUAGAUUAAAACGAAAUUAUAGAGAUAAGAUAUUCGAAGUGCCGCGCCGAGACGCCAUUUCUUGCUUGCCUCUCGAGGUUUCUUGGAGAAUAUUCUCUGGAAUCAAUGAUGAAUACUAUCAGUAAAUCAAAAAGGGGCGGUGACGACAUAGUGUUAUGUACGAAG
Long non-coding RNA from Nymphalis io (European peacock), 353 nucleotides. RefSeq lists it as uncharacterized. The transcript has 3 exons. Lineage: Eukaryota; Metazoa; Arthropoda; Insecta; Lepidoptera; Nymphalidae. The record is from RefSeq and is a predicted model, not a curated record.